RNAcentral lists this ribosomal RNA (460 nucleotides) under uncultured bacterium. RNAcentral describes it as "partial 16S ribosomal RNA". It matches the Rfam family "Bacterial small subunit ribosomal RNA", at positions 338 to 795 of the family's 1533-position model. The record is from RNAcentral.
CCUACGGGUGGCAGCAGUGAGGAAUCUUGGUCAAUGGACGAGAGUCUGAACCAGCCAAGUAGCGUGAAGGAUGACUGCCCUAUGGGUUGUAAACUUCUUUUAUAUGGGAAUAAAAUGUUCCCCGUGUGGGAUUUUGUAUGUACCAUAUGAAUAAGGCUCGGCUAACUCCGUGCCAGCAGCCGCGGUAAUACGGAGGAUCCGAGCGUUAUCCGGAUUUAUUGGGGUUUAAGGGAGCGUAGGUGGAUUGUUAAGUCAGUUGUGAAAGUUUGCGGCUCAACCGUAAAAUUGCAGUUGAAACUGGCAGUCUUGAGUACAGUAGAGGUGGGCGGAAUGCGUGGUGUAGCGGUGAAAUGUUUAGAUAUCACGAAGAACUCCGAUUGCGAAGGCAGUUCACUGGACUGCAACUGACACUGAGGCUCGAAAGUGUGGGUAUCAAACAGGAUUAGAGACCCGAGUAGUC